Molecule: unclassified non-coding RNA, 235 nt
Filed under: uncultured fungus
Lineage: Eukaryota; Fungi
Description: partial contains 5.8S ribosomal RNA, internal transcribed spacer 2, and large subunit ribosomal RNA
Rfam family: 5.8S ribosomal RNA (bases 1-52)
Source: RNAcentral
AACGCACAUUGCGCCCUUUGGUAUUCCAAAGGGCAUGCCUGUUUGAGCGUCAUUUCUCCCUCAAGCCCGCGGGUUUGGUGUUGAGCAAUACGCUUCGGUUUGUUUGAAAGAUGUACGUGGGAACGACCAUGAAACGACUUAGGUUCUACCAAACGCACGUUUCAGCUGCGGCCGACGCCACCACAACUUCCAUACUUUUGACCUCAAAUCAGGUAGGACUACCCGCUGAACUUAA